GAUCUGGCUCAGAACGAACGCUGGUGGCGUGUCUAUACAUGCAAGUCGAGCGAGGCAGCAAUGCCGAGCGGCGAACGGGUGAGUAACGCGUAAGCAAUCUGCCCCAUAUCAGGAAAUACCCGUGCCAACGCGCGGUUAAUGUCCAGGAGAGUGGCCCCCUGCAUGGGGGGUUGACUAGAGAUUUAUCGGUAUGGGAUGAGCUUGCGUCCGAUUAGCUAGUUGGCGGGGCAACGGCCCACCAAGGCGACGAUCGGUAGCCGGCCUGAGAGGGUGAUCGGCCACAUUGGGACUGAGAUACGGCCCAGACUCCUACGGGAGGCAGCAGUAGGGAAUAUUGCACAAUGGGGGAAACCCUGAUGCAGCAACGCCACGUGUGGGAAGAAGCAUUUCGGUGUGUAAACCACUGUCAUGAGGGAAUAAGGCCCGCCUUCGGACGGGAUUGAAUGUACCUUGAGAGGAAGCACCGGCAAACUUCGUGCCAGCAGCCGC
RNAcentral lists this ribosomal RNA (489 nucleotides) under uncultured bacterium. RNAcentral describes it as "bacterial SSU rRNA". It matches the Rfam family "Bacterial small subunit ribosomal RNA", at positions 15 to 518 of the family's 1533-position model. The record is from RNAcentral.